UCGAGAAUCUUUCGCAAUGGGCGCAAGCCUGACGAAGCGACGCCGUGUGAGCGAAGAAGGCCUUCGGGUUGUAAAGCUCUUUCGCUAGGGAACAAGAGAGACCGAAUAACACUCGGUUGAUUUGAUGGUACUUGGUAAAGAAGCACCGGCUAACUCCGUGCCAGCAGCUGCGGUAAUACGGAGGGUGCAAGCAUUGAUCGGAAUUACUGGGCGUAAAGGGCGCGUAGGCGGUUGGAUAAGUCAGAUGUGAAAUUCCGGGGCUCAACCCCGGAGCUGCAUUUGAAACUAUCCGACUAGAGUACAGUUAGGGAAAACGGAAUUCCACGUGUAGCGGUGAAAUGCGUAGAUAUGUGGAAGAACACCGGUGGUGAAGACGGUUUUCUGGGCUGUUACUGACGCUGAGGCGCGAAAGCUAGGGGAGCAAACAGGAUUAGAUACCCCGGUAGUCC
Molecule: ribosomal RNA, 449 nt
Filed under: uncultured bacterium
Lineage: Bacteria
Description: bacterial SSU rRNA
Rfam family: Bacterial small subunit ribosomal RNA
Source: RNAcentral